This 301-nucleotide ribosomal RNA is filed under the name uncultured bacterium. Its description in RNAcentral is "partial 16S ribosomal RNA". It matches the Rfam family "Bacterial small subunit ribosomal RNA", at positions 509 to 807 of the family's 1533-position model. The record is from RNAcentral.
CAGUAGCCGCGGUAAUACGUAGGGAGCAAGCGUUGUUCGGAUUUACUGGGCGUAAAGGGCGCGUAGGCGGCGCGGUAAGUCACUUGUGAAAUCUCUGAGCUUAACUCAGAACGGCCAAGUGAUACUGCUGUGCUAGAGUGCGGAAGAGGCAACCGGAAUUCUUGGUGUAGCGGUGAAAUGCGUAGAUAUCAAGAGGAACACCUGAGGCGAAGGCGGGUUGCUGGGCCGACACUGACGCUGAUGCGCGAAAGCCAGGGGAGCAAACGGGAUUAGAUACCCCCGUAGUCCCUGUCUCUUAUAC